GACAGAGGGUGCAAAUGUUGUUCGGAAUUACUGGGCGUAAAGCGCGUGUAGGCUGCUCGGAAAGUCGGGUGUGAAAGCCCUGGGCUCAACCUAGGAAGUGCACUCGAAACUUCCGAGCUGGAGUGCUGGAGAGGAAGGCGGAAUUCUCGGUGUAGAGGUGAAAUUCGUAGAUAUCGAGAGGAACACCGGUGGCGAAGGCGGCCUUCUGGACAGCCACUGACGCUGAGACGCGAAAGCGUGGGGAGCAAACAGG
Molecule: ribosomal RNA, 253 nt
Filed under: uncultured bacterium
Lineage: Bacteria
Description: partial 16S ribosomal RNA
Rfam family: Bacterial small subunit ribosomal RNA
Source: RNAcentral